Long non-coding RNA from Phasianus colchicus (ring-necked pheasant), 338 nucleotides. Lineage: Eukaryota; Metazoa; Chordata; Aves; Galliformes; Phasianidae. The record is from Ensembl.
UAAUUCUUUAGUCUUAUUAUCACUUCACUACCGGAGAUCCUUGUAGAAAAGAAGUAUUCUGCCUCAUCUAGCUUUUAUGCUACUAUAAAUAUGUACUUGUUAUAUUCUGGAACAUGUUUUUGGCAACGUGCUGUGAAAGUGGGAGGAAGCAGAGAAGACUUUUUGCAGGACUGAGAGCUGGGAUAGUCUCUGUGGCUGGGUCUGACUUCUUGGGCAGCUGCAAAGGAAGGGAGCGAAUCAAUUCCUACUGUGAGGAAAGAAAAAACUUGGUGACACCAGAGGUAGAAGUAGCCAAGAGCUAGAAUAAAGGAUGCAGCUUCACUUUGUAAUCUGAUUAC